GCCCGGCUUGGUCAGUUGGUAGAGCAUGAGACUCUUAAUGUCAGGGUCGUGGGUUUGAGCCCCACGUUGGGCG
RNAcentral lists this transfer RNA (73 nucleotides) under Danio rerio (zebrafish). It matches the Rfam family "tRNA". Rfam says of the family: Transfer RNA (tRNA) molecules are approximately 80 nucleotides in length. Their secondary structure includes four short double-helical elements and three loops (D, anti-codon, and T loops). Further hydrogen bonds mediate the characteristic L-shaped molecular structure. tRNAs have two regions of fundamental functional importance: the anti-codon, which is responsible for specific mRNA codon recognition, and the 3' end, to which the tRNAs corresponding amino acid is attached (by aminoacyl-tRNA synthetases). tRNAs cope with the degeneracy of the genetic code in two manners: having more than one tRNA (with a specific anti-codon) for a particular amino acid; and 'wobble' base-pairing, i.e. permitting non-standard base-pairing at the 3rd anti-codon position. The record is from Rfam by way of RNAcentral. Lineage: Eukaryota; Metazoa; Chordata; Actinopteri; Cypriniformes; Danionidae.